UUUACUCUUUUCCCUUUUUUCUCUACCAUCAACACGAAAGAAACACCAAAAACCUCAACCUCAUUUUUCUCCAUCUCCACAUGGCCGACCACACAAAAUGACCUUUCUUCUCAUUGACGGUGACCCACAACGUUUCAGCCAGCCACUGAAGGGAACUUUUCGUCCGACCACGACACUUUUCUGCUAUAUGCUUUUCGGACGGUGACGUUUAAGCUAAGCAGAAGCUAUACGCGUUUAGGGCGACCCAUGGCGAUUUGGUUAUGCAAAUCAAAAGAUCAAAUUUUCCAAACCAUUUCUUCUUUGGAACUUCCACAUCUUUUUACCAGAUUGAAGGGGGUUAUGUUGAAGAUGGAAGGAGAAAAAGUAAUUGGGAUAUUUUUUUCUCAUAUUACAAGUUAAACCCACUUUAUAAUUUCUCAUUUUGAUAGAAACCCAGUUCUUCGAUUUGCCUAAAAAAGUUUUCGUGGAAUUUGGAGGUAAAAUUAAGAACAAUGACACAGGAGAUUUGACCGACAAUCACUACCACCGGUUUAUGGUACUCUCUAUUUCUGUAGCAUUCUGAUGAAAAAGAAAACGGGAGGAGUUUUUAAGAUGAUUUUUGGUGUUUGAUUUUGGAAGAAAGAUAUUGAACUGAUGGGUUGUUCUAUGGUGAUGAAUGCUUAUCGGUUGUCCAUUUCUUGGACCCAAUUGAUCAUCAGAAUUCAGCUUGCACAUAUGUUGAAGCAUCUCCAGUUGUUGUAUGAAGAGUACAUUCAGUUUCCAACCACUAUUCAUAUUCAAAAUAUUUUCUUUCAAUAAAUAUGGGAAAUAAAGGUUGUCACCUUACCUUAUCAUGUAGCUUUUGUUGAUUAUUCAUUUUUUUCAGCAAACUCAUCUAGUUCAAGCUCUGCUUCAUCACAACCCAUCUCUUCCCCAUCAUUUUUUUCAGCACAAUUUCAAUUAAUCUAUAAGCUAUAGUUCAGUAAAAAGAACAAGAAGAGUUCAGAAUAAAUCAAAGGGAAGAAGACAAACGCACACAUACAAAUACAUUUGCUGGUAAAAAUGAGCUCCCUCUAUGCUAUCAUCAGAUUGUCAAUUCAUAUAAUGAGUUGAAUGACAGUUUUCAGCUCUUGCAUUUUGUUAUUAUUAUUUUUUUUUAAUCAUUUUAUUUGGCUAGAGAGGUGUUGUUCAAAAUAGAAAAAUGACUUGUGUUGUGACAAACUUGUAGAAAUGAACCAUGAGCUCGUGAUCAUUCUCGUAAUCUGAAUUCACUUUCCUUAGACAAGAUAUACCAAAUCUUGCAUCUGUAGAAGAAACAAAGAUCAACACAAGCAUAAAUGUUCCCUUUGAAUAUAAAAGAUGGCUAAUGGCAUAAAAAUCCAGCAGAAAUAGGAAUUUUUUAUAUGUUUUAAUUAAAAAAAAUGCUAAUGCUCCCUUUGAUAAUGACAAAAUAAUUGAAUUAAACAGCACACUAGAAACAAAAUUAUCAAACAGAAGAGUUUAAAAUUUAUAGAAUGACUGAGAAACCUUUUAAUCAAAAGAGAAUGCAGAGCCACUACCAAAUAAGAUGCUUCACAGGCUAGAUCAUGAAACUAGAACAAGCAGUUUCAUACGAACUUUGGAAUAUUAUUUUGACUACCGUGCUGCUUGCUUUAAAUUCGCAUGCUUAACAAUUACCAGGUAUGUACAUCAAAUUAUUUUGAUUAUUGUGUUGCUGGUUUUAAGUUUCACAUUUGUGGUUUCUAUUGUGUUACUUGUUGGUUGAGUGCAUUGUUAUAGAUGUCAUAUUGUCUUCACAUCCUAUGGUACUUUAUGAACUUUUGAUGAACUUGAUGACAUUUUACUUCACUGGUUUUGAGCAUUUUAUUAAAGAUCUUUGUGCUUAAAUGUGUAUUUGAUAAUUGUUUACAGCUGAUCAACCUUGAGGAAGAGAGAUGUAAAGAAGCAAAAACAAGAGUGUUAGAGAAUAUAUGAAUUAGAAAGCAAAAGAAGAGACUAUAGGUGUUGUUCAACACCUUGAUAACAUGUGUACCGGGGAGGCAUCAUCAUAUGCAAGGACUUCUAAGCGGAAGCAAGGAUGUGUCCUCUUCUAAAAAGUUGAGAAGCCCCAAAUAAAUCUUUCAAGCUCUCUUUGCUUUCCUUCUCAGCGUUGCGUAAACUGCUAAAUUGUUAUAAUGUUAAUCUUCAAGAAAUAGUUAUCUUUUAAAAGUUUAAACUUUCAUUUGAUGCAAUUCUUUUAUGGAAGGAGCAAAAGCGAGAUCUACCUAGAAGGGUUUACUUAUAAAACUUAUAACACUUUUCUUUUAA
Long non-coding RNA from Cucumis melo (muskmelon), 2286 nucleotides. RefSeq lists it as uncharacterized. The record is from RefSeq and is a predicted model, not a curated record. NCBI's taxonomy places the organism in Eukaryota, Viridiplantae, Streptophyta, Magnoliopsida, Cucurbitales, Cucurbitaceae. The transcript has 4 exons.